This 757-nucleotide ribosomal RNA is filed under the name uncultured Enterobacteriaceae bacterium. Its description in RNAcentral is "bacterial SSU rRNA". It matches the Rfam family "Bacterial small subunit ribosomal RNA", at positions 28 to 776 of the family's 1533-position model. Lineage: Bacteria; Pseudomonadati; Pseudomonadota; Gammaproteobacteria; Enterobacterales; Enterobacteriaceae. The record is from RNAcentral.
AUUGAACGCUGGCGGCAGGCCUAACACAUGCAAGUCGAGCGGUAGCACAGAGAGCUUGCUCUCGGGUGACGAGCGGCGGACGGGUGAGUAACGUCUGGGAAACUGCCUGAUGGAGGGGGAUAACUACUGGAAACGGUAGCUAAUACCGCAUAACGUCGCAAGACCAAAGAGGGGGACCUUCGGGCCUCUUGCCAUCAGAUGUGCCCAGAUGGGAUUAGCUAGUAGGUGGGGUAACGGCUCACCUAGGCGACGAUCCCUAGCUGGUCUGAGAGGAUGACCAGCCACACUGGAACUGAGACACGGUCCAGACUCCUACGGGAGGCAGCAGUGGGGAAUAUUGCACAAUGGGCGCAAGCCUGAUGCAGCCAUGCCGCGUGUAUGAAGAAGGCCUUCGGGUUGUAAAGUACUUUCAGCGGGGAGGAAGGUGUUGAGGUUAAUAACCUCAGCAAUUGACGUUACCCGCAGAAGAAGCACCGGCUAACUCCGUGCCAGCAGCCGCGGUAAUACGGAGGGUGCAAGCGUUAAUCGGAAUUACUGGGCGUAAAGCGCACGCAGGCGGUCUGUCAAGUCGGAUGUGAAAUCCCCGGGCUCAACCUGGGAACUGCAUUCGAAACUGGCAGGCUAGAGUCUUGUAGAGGGGGGUAGAAUUCCAGGUGUAGCGGUGAAAUGCGUAGAGAUCUGGAGGAAUACCGGUGGCGAAGGCGGCCCCCUGGACAAAGACUGACGCUCAGGUGCGAAAGCGUGGGGAGCAAACAGG